UCGCGAAAACUUUGCAAUACACGAAAGUGUGACAGGGCUAUCCCGAGUGCCAUCCGCUGAGGAAGGCUUUUACCCAGUCUAGAAAGCUGGGAGAAUAAGGAGAGGGCAAGACUGGUGUCAGCCGCCGCGGUAAUACCAGCUCUCCGAGUGGUGUGGAUGUUUAUUGGGCCUAAAGCAUCCGUAGCUGGCUGGGCAAGUCCCCUGUUAAAUCCACCGAUUUAAUCGUUGGUGUGCGGGGGAUACUGCUCAGCUAGGGGACGGGAGAGGCAGACGGUAUUUCCGGGGUAGGGGUGAAAUCCUAUAAUCCCGGGAGGACCACCAGUGGCGAAGGCUGUCUGCUAGAACGCGCCCGACGGUGAGGGAUGAAAGCUGGGGGAGCGAACCGGAUUAGAUACCCGGGUAGUCCCAGCUGUAAACGAUGCAGGCUAGGUGUUUGGGCGGCCACGUGCCGCUCUAGUGCCGCAGGGAAGCCGUUAAGCCUGCCGCCUGGGGAUACGGCCGCAAGGCUGAAACUUAAGGAAUUGGCGGGGG
RNAcentral lists this ribosomal RNA (531 nucleotides) under uncultured archaeon. RNAcentral's name for it is "bacterial SSU rRNA". It matches the Rfam family "Archaeal small subunit ribosomal RNA", at positions 339 to 874 of the family's 1478-position model. The record is from RNAcentral.